This 374-nucleotide unclassified non-coding RNA is filed under the name Hevea brasiliensis (rubber tree). Lineage: Eukaryota; Viridiplantae; Streptophyta; Magnoliopsida; Malpighiales; Euphorbiaceae. The record is from RNAcentral.
GAUUGAUCAAAAUCACAUUCCAUUAUAUCCAUGGAACAAUCUCCGGCUUUGAGAUUACAAGGAAGAAGGAACACAAGCUCAAUAACAUGCCAGUUCUACAAUUUCGAAGGUCCAGAAAACAAUCGAAAUCAGUAGGUUCUUCUUCAAGUUUUCAAGAUGACCUAAAGACAAGUAAUAUGAAUCAUGAACGCUGGAGGUCAAGUAUGACCUUGUACAUUAGCGAGAAAAAAAUAAUAAUGAAGUCCAAGAGAAGAGAACACAAAUCUUUAGUGACAACUUCUUCAGAUUUCUGUAAGGGAGCAAAUACUUACCAAGCCAGAUAAUAAUAACUUAUACAGCUUUGCUUUUGCUUGCCUCUCUCUCUCUCUCUCUCU